CAUUCCAUAUAUUCAGAGUUUCAUUCAAUAUAUUCGGAUUUUCAUUCAAUAUAUUCGGAUUUUCAUUCCAUAUAUUCCGAGUUUCAUUCAAUAUAUUCAGAGUUUCAUUCAAUAUAUUCAGAGUUUCAUUCAAUAUAUUCCGAGUUUUUACCUACCGAGCCCCGGAAGGGACAUGUCGGUAUGGCGAAACGACAAUGGAGGACACCCACCCGUACGAGAGUUUUAUUGAGUUUUAUUUUGUAAUCAGCCUAAAAUACAAAGACAUUCAAGCAGUGCGAUGCAUGAGGAGUCUGCCAUGCAGACCAGCGAUCCUGAUCCUGUUGUCGGCCUUGGAUGAUGAGGUCCAGUUACCAGGAUAACUACUCUGCAGCUCACUGAUCCCAUCCUGCAGCUCAUCCAUGCCGUUCUCCUCUCAACAGACCAAAUCAAGAAAAAGGAAGCAGGAUGCUACUGUGGAUCUGCUGCAGUAUCUGGAGAGGUCAGAGGAACAGUUGAGGAGACACCAAGACCUGACCUCUGCCAUGCUCCAGAACAUCCAGAGACCAAGACCUGACCUCUGCCAUGCUCCAGAACAUCCAGAGACCAAGACCUGACCACUGCCAUGCUCCAGAACAUCCAGAGACCAAGACCUGACCACUGCUAUGCUCCAGAACAUCCAGAGGAUGGAUGAAAAUUCAAACACCUUGGUUGGACUGAUGGGACGUACGGUGUCAGUGCUGGAGAGACUGUCACAGAAAUAAACUGCAUUAUCCACUACUUCUGAUCUUUUUAAAAAAAAAAAAAAAAAAAACUUCUUUUUUGUAAAUUCUUUUACAUUUUAGUUAUUUAACUUCACCUGUUUUGUAUUUUAACUCUUGCACGUUGGGGGAAUAAACAGAAAUUUGUGAUGAAAGAUGCGUGUUUUGUCUAUA
Amphiprion ocellaris (clown anemonefish) is the source of this 911-nucleotide long non-coding RNA. RefSeq lists it as uncharacterized. NCBI's taxonomy places the organism in Eukaryota, Metazoa, Chordata, Actinopteri, Pomacentridae. The transcript is spliced from 3 exons. The record is from RefSeq and is a predicted model, not a curated record.